GCCUUAAUCCUAUUCCCCUGUAGAAACUGCAAAGUUUAUCUUCAUUGACCCUUCUGCUCUUUGUUCCUUCUGGGUGAUGUUCCUUUCUCCGCUCCUGGGGUCUUUCUGCUCUAGCAAGCAAUAUACACAGGUAUAACCUUAGGCAAAUCCUCUUAUCAGUGAUUCAUAGUUCAGACAUUGAUGUUCCCUUUGCUUUUCUUGCUAGAAUGCUUGCAUUCCGUGUUCUCUCCAUCCAUAAUUUUUCUGGUUGACUGUAGCUUAUUUGAUUAAUGUAAGUUAAGGUGUUAGUUUAAACUAUGCUUGCCUUUAAACUAAGAUAUUAGCUUAAAUUAGCUUUAUUUAUGCACACAUUACGCUUCCUAGAAAAUAUUUGCAUUAUAACAAGACUUUUCAGUGUCUCAACUUCAAUGUAGAUAUUUAAUACUUUGUAACUAGAUGGUGGUCAAAAUGUUUUGGGCUUCUGUUCUCUUAUUUAUAGAGACAGGAGUUGAACUAAUUGACAUGUAGAGUUAUUCCAGUAUUGUGAUUCUAACUGAAUAGAUGUGAAGGUGGGUAAUUAAUCAUGUCAUUUUCCCCAUUCCUACAAUAAUAAGAAAAAUCUCUAUCUGCUCCAAAUUAAAUAAUUAAUGAUAAGGAAAGGCAUACCCAUGCUGAAUUUGCCAAAGAUUUACCAAGUGUAUGCAUCUGGGGAGCAUUGUGGAAUCAUUUGCUAUAUUCAUAUGCUACAAAUAAACAGACGGACGGAAAAGCAAAUGAUUCUCUAUCACUUUAACAAUAUUUUAUUUUGCUUUCUCUCUGCAGGCGUGACUACAUUCCGUAGUUAAAAUAUGCUUUUGCCACAGAAAGAACAGGUUGCAACAUGUGUCCUAUGUCUCAGGCCAUUGGCUCCUAGUUUGCCACUAAAGUAUUGAGGAGAUGCUACAUUUUGGGCUUUGUUUACUAAAUCUCGGGUCUGCAGGAGAUUCGUUUAUUAGCAUUCAGUUCAUAAAUGUGUCAUAUUAGUUGAAGGCUAAAUUGGUAAUCUUAUUCUAUUAAGUUAAUUGAUUUUAUAUAUUCUUCUUGCCUUUUCAAGGCAAAGGGAGAUAAAAAAAAGAAGGGAAGAGGGAGAGAGGAGAGAGAUAUAAUUAAGAGAGAGAGACAAUUCUAUCUACUCAAAGUAAAAACAAAUUUGAGAAGUUAAAUAAUUGAGCUCAGUUUUCUGCCUGUGAGAUGGGAGAACAAUGUGGUGGAAAUUCAGCACCCCAGUGAAUGCUCAAUAAUUAUUUCCAUUCGCUCUUUUGUGAUGGGGUUAAAUCUGAAAUAAAUGGAAAAGGUACAAAAUGAUACUUAUCUUUUUUUGUCUUCCUCAUCUAAUUGGGGGCUUUAGGCUAAGUGAUCAAGACUAUAGAUCUGCCUCUAUUCAUGACCUAAUUUCUUUCCAAACUCCAGAAUUUCUGGGUUUGUAAGAGUGGUGCAACCAUAGGGAAUACAAUUGAUUAAGACAAAGUCACUAGAACCAUGGUGACGAGCUGUGUCUUCAGCAACUGUGGAAAUGGCAACAGGGAGAAAAUAAUUGAGCAUAACUAGGCAGUUAGAGAGGAUUUUGAGCUUUUACUGAGUUCUCAGAUACUUUCUUCAUUCAGUUGUACAAAGAUUUAAUUGCAUUUUCCCCUUCUCUGAAUUCUAAUCUUUUUAUUUCACAAAGCUCGAGUGAUUUCUGAACAUCACAUUCCACUUCUGCAUAGAUAAGAGCUGCUUCAUAAAGUUCUGUUAAAGGACAUUGUUUACUAUUUCUCUCAGUUUGUAGAAUGCUAUGGCAGAGCGGAUAAAGGAGCCAAGGUUGCUUUUUAUAUCUUUCACUAGCAAGACUUCAUGGCGUCUUUGUUUUCUUGUCAUACUAUUGGCUGCAUGCCACUAUAGGCAGAUCAUUUUUUAAGUCAAAUUUGUAUAAAUCUUAUUCUAAUUUAUUUAUUUUAUUAACAAGACUAUGUUUUGCAUGCUGGUGUCCAAGUAAGGGACUCUGAAGGUUUAUUUAAAUGUAAACUGCUACCAAGAUGAUAAUUACACCAAUAUAGAGGUAACCUCGAGCGGACCAUUUUCGUAAUAGUGUACAUGCUCUCUUCCAUAUGCUUUUAACUGACAUAACUUUUCAUAUUUGUUCAACGGAGCAGGGUUUUUUGUUGAUUAAAAAUACAUGUAACAAAUUAGAGAUGUUUAGAAACAAAAAGUAAAUUACUUUUUCAAUCCAAAUAAAAUUAUUUUUACUGUCGCAUAUGAGUGUCUGUUCACUAUCCACAUGCACAUGCAUUUUACCUAAUUGUGGUUAUUAUGCAUUUGGCUUUUCUGCUUCUGAAAUCAUGUUACAAACAUUUCUCUUUCUCUUGAGAGACUGCAGAGUUAUGAAUUCCAAUCUUAUUCUCUGUUGAUAUUCCAUAAUUUGCUAAGCCAUUCCUUCUUUUAAGACGUUUAUGUUCUUAUCCAUCUGUUAUCUACUAUCUUUAUAUUUUUGUAUUAAAGAUUAUUUUAUGAUCUUGCACAUGUAUAUUUGUAUAUGUGUGUAGUUUCUGUUCAAUUAUUUCUCUAUGAUGAAUUCCUAGAAGUGGAAUUACAAGACCAACAAUUAUAAAUUUCUAUGUCACUCCUGCUGUGUACUUUUGCAAUUUUUCCUAAGAAGGUUGAUAUAAACUUUUUUAAAUGCUUUACAAAUUGCAUGAUUUUGGAAGUGUCAACAGCAUGUAAAAAUUAUGAUUGUUUGAAAAUAUAAUGUGAAAGUCUGGCCUAGUGUCAAUAUACAUAAAAGCCCCAAAAAUGUUUUUCUUUGAAUCAGAAUAUUAAUGUUUUGAUUUUUAUUUACUGUACUCAAUAUUUAAUAUCAUAGUUAAAAAAACAAUUAAGCAAUCAAGAUUUAGAGAUUUUUGAAGAAGUUUUGCCACUUUUUUUUCUACUUGUUUCAUAUGUGGAGAGAUCCACAAGCUUAGUAAGAAAAUAUUGCUUUUAGCGCGAUGCACGUCUAACACAUUAUGCUAUCCUGAAUACUCUUUAUCAUAUCCUAGUAAUUUUGCUAUAAAUAAUCUUUCAGAAAAUAUUUUUAUAGAAGACUGCUAACUGAAAGUGUGCUUGUCAGAUAAAUUGAGGUCUUCUUUUGCCAGGCUGUAAAGACUUUUUUGCUGUUCUUUAUCCAUAUUGUAGUGAUUCAAGAGUGUCUGGAAUUACAUUUUACCUUUUGUGAAAAUUUUGAAGAUUAUAACAAUGAAAGCAAAUCACAACAUGUGAUUAAAAUGGGGCCUCCUUAAUAGUUUAUUAACCUUUAGAUACACUGAGGAAAGCAGACAGAUUUCAUCUUAUGGACCAAGUCAGAUACACUAGUGUGGCUGUCUGGACCGUGUCGUUGGGAAUGGCAGAGAAGACUCAUCUUGUCAGCAGGAGAGCAUGCUGGGAUGCUGAGACACAGUGAUUUGUCUUGUAUGUCGUUGGAACAGGGUGGGAGUAUAUUGGCCACAUUCCUACCAUCCAGUAUCUACGUCUUUUUAUACUAAUCCUUCCAGUUGAUCAAUAUGGAUAAACGGGUGUAGGAAACCGAGAAAGGGCUAUAAACCAAAUGCUGCUAAUUGUCACCCAUCUACAAGUUCACAUGAAGUCAUGGCUACAUCUGUCUAAACUGGGCCACCCUCACCUCUCACUUGUCUGACUCAGGGGCAGUGUACAACAAUGGAAGCAAUGUCACCCCCUAAGAGACAUUUAGGAAAUGUGCAAAAAGCUAUAUGGUUCUCACAACGAUUGGUGGGUGCUACUGACUUUGCAUAGGUAGGGAUGAGAGAGCCUAGAAAGCUGAGAUGCAACUUUGUUCUGCACAACAAAGAAAUCUUCAAUGUCUGCAGGAAUCUCCAGCGUCCAGCAAUGCAAACCUCAGCAUGAGUACGUCCCAAGAGCUGGACAGGAAGAGUGCCACCCCAGCCCCACCCAGCACAAACACUCAAAAAGUGAGCUUAUUAAAGAAUUUAGGGGGUGCCUCCUUCACUUGGGAUCCACACAGCUGUUAUAGCCCUAAAUGUCCUCUCUUUUUAUCAGGCCCCAGGGAAACACUCAUUUUAACAUCUUCAAAACAAAAGAUGACUGUGUCUGAAUGCGGUGAGAUUUCUGGGUGCUGUCGCUGCUUGAAGGGGUGCAGGGAGUACUUGAGAGACAUAAAUGCUUACACAGAGAAAAGGAAAAUUAACUCGUCAAGUUCUUUCUUUCAGGUAACAUAAAUGCAAUCAAUUCUGGAAUAAUUAGAAACUGUUUGCUGUUUGCAAGAAGUGCUGAGCAUCCAUUUUCUUGUUUCUCUCGAUGCUCCAGUUUGUGGUUCCAGAGUUAUUCACAAAUUCAUGUUAUGGUCUGAACACUUGUACUUGGCUCCAUAAGGAACAUUUUAAAACAUGAGGUAGUUCAUAUUACUCUUAAAUCUGUGUAUUUGCAGGCCUGUAUGUAAUGAGCAAGAAACAAGAUACCAAUUCAUUACACUGGCCACAAAAAGGACACUGAAUGCUAAAUGUUGAGAAUAGUUGUAUUUUAUAAACUUGCCUAAUAUGAAUUAAUUAAAAUUUCUACUUAUUUAAAUAUGUUUGAUUUGAAAUUUGGUAUUAAUUUAUAUAAAUAUGAGGUUUGCCUUUUAAUUUAAUAAAGUGUUAAAUAAAACUUCUUUGGAAAACAUAAAUUUAAAAAAGUCCAACAAUUUAGGAGGAGGUCAUUA
RNAcentral lists this long non-coding RNA (4708 nucleotides) under Equus caballus (horse). RNAcentral's name for it is "lncRNA (ENSECAG00000054083.1)". Lineage: Eukaryota; Metazoa; Chordata; Mammalia; Perissodactyla; Equidae. The record is from RNAcentral.